This 2891-nucleotide ribosomal RNA is filed under the name Vibrio parahaemolyticus. RNAcentral's name for it is "23S ribosomal RNA". It matches the Rfam family "Bacterial large subunit ribosomal RNA". The record is from RNAcentral. Lineage: Bacteria; Pseudomonadati; Pseudomonadota; Gammaproteobacteria; Vibrionales; Vibrionaceae.
GGUUAAGUGACUAAGCGUACACGGUGGAUGCCUUGGCAGUCAGAGGCGAUGAAAGACGUAGUAACUUGCGAUAAGCCCAGAUUAGGUAGUAACAACCAUUUGAGUCUGGGAUUUCUGAAUGGGGAAACCCACGUGCAUAAGCACGUAUCCUUACCUGAAUACAUAGGGUAAGGAGGCGAACCGGGGGAACUGAAACAUCUAAGUACCCCGAGGAAAAGAAAUCAACCGAGAUUCCGAAAGUAGCGGCGAGCGAAAUUGGACUAGCCCUUAAGCUUUACACGCGUUAGACGAACGGUCUGGAAAGUCCGACGAUACAGGGUGAUAGUCCCGUAGUUGACGACGUGUGUUCAGUGAAAUCGAGUAGGGCGGGACACGUGAUAUCCUGUCUGAAUAUGGGGGGACCAUCCUCCAAGGCUAAAUACUACUGACUGACCGAUAGUGAACCAGUACCGUGAGGGAAAGGCGAAAAGAACCCCUGUGAGGGGAGUGAAAUAGAACCUGAAACCGUGUACGUACAAGCAGUAGGAGCAGGCUUUGUCCUGUGACUGCGUACCUUUUGUAUAAUGGGUCAGCGACUUAUAUUCAGUGGCAAGGUUAACCAUCUAGGGGAGCCGUAGGGAAACCGAGUCUUAACUGGGCGUUCAGUCUCUGGAUAUAGACCCGAAACCAGGUGAUCUAGCCAUGGGCAGGUUGAAGGUUGAGUAACAUCAACUGGAGGACCGAACCGACUAAUGUUGAAAAAUUAGCGGAUGACUUGUGGCUAGGGGUGAAAGGCCAAUCAAACCUGGAGAUAGCUGGUUCUCCCCGAAAGCUAUUUAGGUAGCGCCUCGGACGAAUACUACUGGGGGUAGAGCACUGUUAAGGCUAGGGGGUCAUCCCGACUUACCAACCCUUUGCAAACUCCGAAUACCAGUAAGUACUAUCCGGGAGACACACGGCGGGUGCUAACGUCCGUCGUGGAGAGGGAAACAACCCAGACCGCCAGCUAAGGUCCCAAAUUACUACUAAGUGGGAAACGAUGUGGGAAGGCUCAGACAGCCAGGAUGUUGGCUUAGAAGCAGCCAUCAUUUAAAGAAAGCGUAAUAGCUCACUGGUCGAGUCGGCCUGCGCGGAAGAUGUAACGGGGCUAAGUAGUAAACCGAAGCUGCGGCAAUGUGCUUUUGCACAUUGGGUAGGGGAGCGUUCUGUAAGCGGUUGAAGGUGUGUGGUAACGCAUGCUGGACGUAUCAGAAGUGCGAAUGCUGACAUGAGUAACGAUAAAGGGGGUGAAAAACCUCCUCGCCGGAAGACCAAGGGUUCCUGUCCAACGUUAAUCGGGGCAGGGUAAGUCGACCCCUAAGGCGAGGCCGAAAGGCGUAGUCGAUGGGAAACGGGUUAAUAUUCCCGUACUUCUUACAAUUGCGAUGGGGGGACGGAGAAGGCUAGGUGGGCCUGGCGACGGUUGUCCAGGUUCAAGUGCGUAGGCUUAAGAGUUAGGUAAAUCCGGCUCUUUCUAAGGCUGAGACACGACGUCGAGCAUCUACGGAUGUGAAGUCAUUGAUGCCAUGCUUCCAGGAAAAGCCUCUAAGCUUCAGAUUGUAAGGAAUCGUACCCCAAACCGACACAGGUGGUCGGGUAGAGAAUACCAAGGCGCUUGAGAGAACUCGGGUGAAGGAACUAGGCAAAAUGGUACCGUAACUUCGGGAGAAGGUACGCUCUUGAUGGUGAAGUCCCUUGCGGAUGGAGCUGACGAGAGUCGCAGAUACCAGGUGGCUGCAACUGUUUAUUAAAAACACAGCACUGUGCAAAAUCGUAAGAUGACGUAUACGGUGUGACGCCUGCCCGGUGCCGGAAGGUUAAUUGAUGGGGUUAGACUUCGGUCGAAGCUCUUGAUCGAAGCCCCGGUAAACGGCGGCCGUAACUAUAACGGUCCUAAGGUAGCGAAAUUCCUUGUCGGGUAAGUUCCGACCUGCACGAAUGGCGUAAUGAUGGCCACGCUGUCUCCACCCGAGACUCAGUGAAAUUGAAAUCGCUGUGAAGAUGCAGUGUACCCGCGGCUAGACGGAAAGACCCCGUGAACCUUUACUACAGCUUGGCACUGAACAUUGACCCUACAUGUGUAGGAUAGGUGGGAGGCUUUGAAGCACGUACGCCAGUAUGUGUGGAGCCGUCCUUGAAAUACCACCCUUGUAGUGUUGAUGUUCUAACGUCGACCCCUAAUCGGGGUUGCGGACAGUGCCUGGUGGGUAGUUUGACUGGGGCGGUCUCCUCCCAAAGAGUAACGGAGGAGCACGAAGGUGGGCUAAUCACGGUUGGACAUCGUGAGGUUAGUGCAAUGGCAUAAGCCCGCUUGACUGCGAGAAUGACAAUUCGAGCAGGUGCGAAAGCAGGUCAUAGUGAUCCGGUGGUUCUGAAUGGAAGGGCCAUCGCUCAACGGAUAAAAGGUACUCCGGGGAUAACAGGCUGAUACCGCCCAAGAGUUCAUAUCGACGGCGGUGUUUGGCACCUCGAUGUCGGCUCAUCACAUCCUGGGGCUGAAGUCGGUCCCAAGGGUAUGGCUGUUCGCCAUUUAAAGUGGUACGCGAGCUGGGUUUAGAACGUCGUGAGACAGUUCGGUCCCUAUCUGCCGUGGGCGUUGGAAGAUUGAAGGGGGCUGCUCCUAGUACGAGAGGACCGGAGUGGACGAACCUCUGGUGUUCGGGUUGUGUCGCCAGACGCAUUGCCCGGUAGCUAAGUUCGGAAUCGAUAACCGCUGAAAGCAUCUAAGCGGGAAGCGAGCCCUGAGAUGAGUCUUCCCUGAUACUUUAAGUAUCCUAAAGGGUUGUCGGAGACUACGACGUUGAUAGGUCAGGUGUGUAAGUGCUGUGAGGCAUUGAGCUAACUGAUACUAAUUGCCCGUGAGGCUUAACCAU